UGAUAAGUAUCAUAACUAUUGAGAGUGGUUUCGACCCACUUAGUGGUGUAGGCCAAUACACCCUUAUCAG
RNAcentral lists this transfer RNA (70 nucleotides) under Haematomyzus elephantis (elephant louse). Its description in RNAcentral is "tRNA-Arg". The record is from RNAcentral. Lineage: Eukaryota; Metazoa; Arthropoda; Insecta; Psocodea; Haematomyzidae.